RNAcentral lists this microRNA (20 nucleotides) under Homo sapiens (human). RNAcentral's name for it is "hsa-miR-10401-5p". Lineage: Eukaryota; Metazoa; Chordata; Mammalia; Primates; Hominidae. The record is from miRBase by way of RNAcentral.
CGUGUGGGAAGGCGUGGGGU